RNAcentral lists this ribosomal RNA (255 nucleotides) under uncultured bacterium. RNAcentral describes it as "partial 16S ribosomal RNA". It matches the Rfam family "Bacterial small subunit ribosomal RNA", at positions 524 to 776 of the family's 1533-position model. The record is from RNAcentral.
UACGUAGGGUGCGAGCGUUUGUCCGGAAUUAUUGGGCGUAAAGAGCUCGUAGGCGGUGUGUCACGUCGUUCGUGAAAACCUGCAGCUUAACUGUGGGCGUGCGGUCGAUACGGGCAUCACUGGAGUUCGGCAGGGGAGACUGGAAUUCCUGGUGUAGCGGUGAAAUGCGCAGAUAUCAGGAAGAACACCCGUGGCGAAGGCGGCUCUCUGGGCCACUACUGACGCUGAGAAGCGAAAGCAUGGGGAGCGAACAGG